CUUCGGGGUGCCGGACGGAAUCCGGCUGAGAUAGGGCGACCAAUCGCGCCCUGACCCGCUGAACCUGCUACGGAUCAUACCGGCGAAGGGAAAGA
This 95-nucleotide non-coding RNA is filed under the name bovine gut metagenome. Its description in RNAcentral is "TPP riboswitch (THI element)". It matches the Rfam family "TPP riboswitch aptamer (THI element)", at positions 8 to 91 of the family's 105-position model. Rfam says of the family: Vitamin B(1) in its active form thiamin pyrophosphate (TPP) is an essential coenzyme that is synthesised by coupling of pyrimidine and thiazole moieties in bacteria. The previously detected thiamin-regulatory element, thi box was extended, resulting in a new, highly conserved RNA secondary structure, the THI element, which is widely distributed in eubacteria and also occurs in some archaea. The record is from RNAcentral.